AGAGUUUGAUCAUGGCUCAGAUUGAACGCUGGCGGUAGGCUUAACACAUGCAAGUCGUGCGAGAAAGUAUCUUCGGAUAUGAGUAGAGCGGCGGACGGGUGAGUAACGCGUAGGAAUCUACCUAGUAGAAGGGGAUAGCCCGAGGAAACUCGGAUUAAUACCGUAUACCUCCUUAGGGAGAAAGAGGGCCUCUCUUGAUGCUCUCGCUAUUAGAUGAGCCUGCGUAAGAUUAGCUUGUUGGUGAGGUAAUGGCUCACCAAGGCUACGAUCUUUAGCUGGUCUGAGAGGACGAUCAGCCACAUUGGGACUGAGACACGGCCCAGACUCCUACGGGAGGCAGCAGUGGGGAAUAUUGGACAAUGGGCGCAAGCCUGAUCCAGCCAUACCGCGUGUGUGAAGAAGGCCUUCGGGUUGUAAAGCACUUUAAGCAGGGAGAAAAAGUUAUAAGUUAAUACCUUAUAACCGUGAUGUUACCUGCAGAAUAAGCACCGGCUAAUUCCGUGCCAGCAGCCGCGGUAAUACGGAAGGUGCAAGCGUUAAUCGGAAUUACUGGGCGUAAAGCGCGCGUAGGUGGUUUGUUAAGUUGGAUGUGAAAGCCCUGGGCUCAACCUAGGAACUGCAUCCAAAACUAACUCACUAGAGUACGAUAGAGGGAGGUAGAAUUCAUAGUGUAGCGGUGGAAUGCGUAGAUAUUAUGAAGAAUACCGGUGGCAAG
Molecule: ribosomal RNA, 715 nt
Filed under: uncultured marine bacterium
Lineage: Bacteria
Description: bacterial SSU rRNA
Rfam family: Bacterial small subunit ribosomal RNA
Source: RNAcentral